AUACCCUGGUUUAUCUUCAGAUUGUAUAAAUCUUCUGCCUUUUGCUAAAGAUUUCCAUGGAAAGGAACAUUUAAGUAAAAAAGAAUAGGUUAAUAAAUUGUAAUAUAUCUAUAGGUGUGG
Molecule: small nuclear RNA, 120 nt
Organism: Macaca fascicularis (crab-eating macaque)
Lineage: Eukaryota; Metazoa; Chordata; Mammalia; Primates; Cercopithecidae
Gene: U5
Rfam family: U5 spliceosomal RNA
About the family: U5 RNA is a component of both types of known spliceosome. The precise function of this molecule is unknown, though it is known that the 5' loop is required for splice site selection and p220 binding, and that both the 3' stem-loop and the Sm site are important for Sm protein binding and cap methylation.
Source: Ensembl